RNAcentral lists this ribosomal RNA (468 nucleotides) under uncultured bacterium. RNAcentral's name for it is "partial 16S ribosomal RNA". It matches the Rfam family "Bacterial small subunit ribosomal RNA", at positions 28 to 507 of the family's 1533-position model. The record is from RNAcentral.
GACGAACGCUGGCGGCGUGCUUAACACAUGCAAGUCGAACGGAAAGGGCCGGAUUCUGGGGGGUGCUAGAGUGGCGAACGGGUGGGUAACACGUGCGUAACCUGCCUUCGCCUCAGGGAUGACUAAAAGAAACUGAGGACUACAACGGCUACGUGCUACUGCAGCAUGGCGGGGGGUGGAAAGGUUCGGCGGCUGGGGAUGGUCUCGCGGCAUAUCAGCUUGUUGGUGGGGUAGUGGCUUACCAUGGCUUUGACGGGUAGCCGGCCUGGGAGGGUGACCGGCCACAGUGGGACUGAGGAACGGGCCAUACUGCUACGGGCGGCAGCAGUGGGGAAUAGUGCACGAUGGGCGGAGGCCGGAUGCAGCAACGCCGCGUGGGGAAGGACGGCCUUCGGGUUGUAAACCGCUUUCGCCGGUGACGAAGCGUGAUUGACGGUAAUGGGUAAGGAAGCACCGGCUAACUACGUG